UGCUGAGGGAUAGAGCCUGAGCCUGGUGGA
Molecule: non-coding RNA, 30 nt
Filed under: Homo sapiens (human)
Lineage: Eukaryota; Metazoa; Chordata; Mammalia; Primates; Hominidae
Source: RNAcentral